RNAcentral lists this ribosomal RNA (468 nucleotides) under uncultured bacterium. Its description in RNAcentral is "partial 16S ribosomal RNA". It matches the Rfam family "Bacterial small subunit ribosomal RNA", at positions 28 to 507 of the family's 1533-position model. The record is from RNAcentral.
GACGAACGCUGGCGGCGUGCUUAACACAUGCAAGUCGAACGGAAAGGCCCUGCUUUUGUGGGGUGCUCGAGUGGCGAACGGGUGAGUAACACGUGAGUAACCUGCCCUUGACUUUGGGAUAACUUCAGGAAACUGGGGCUAAUACCGGAUAGGAGCUCCUGCUGCACGGUGGGGGUUGGAAAGUUUCGGCGGUUGGGGCUGGACUCGCGGCUUAUCAGCUUGUUGGUGGGGUAGUGGCUUACCAAGGCUUUGACGGGUAGCCGGCCUGAGAGGGUGACCGGCCACAUUGGGACUAAGAUACGGCCCAGACGGCAACGGGAGGCAGCAGUGGGGAAUAUUGCGCAGUGGGCGGAAGCCUGAUGCAGCAACGCCGCGUGCGGGAUGACGGCCUUCGGGUUGUAAACCGCUUUCGCCUGUGACGAAGCGUGAGUGACGGUAAUGGGUAAAGAAGCACCGGCUAACUACGUG